Molecule: long non-coding RNA, 608 nt
Organism: Carassius auratus (goldfish)
Lineage: Eukaryota; Metazoa; Chordata; Actinopteri; Cypriniformes; Cyprinidae
Exons: 3
Source: RefSeq, a predicted model, not a curated record
CCCAACAUGAGGGUAAAUUAUUAAUGAAAUAAUUUUGCUAUUUGGGUGAACUAACCCUUUAAGUUUGCAUGUAAGAGUAAUUUUAAGUCAUAAAAUGAAUAUUAACUGUUCUGUUUGUUUUGCAGAUUCAAAUCCAACAGAGAGAGAUUAUCGUUAUCAGUCGUUAUCUUUUAGUGCAACAUUAUUGGAAUAUCUGUCAUGUGGAUCAUAUGUCUGUUAAUCAGGAUUAAACAACAAAAGGCUUUAUCUCCAGUUAGCAUUAUAGAGGAAACACACCCGUCCAUAUUGAAAUGUCGGACACAAAAGAGACACACAUCCAGUUUUUGAUGCCAAUAAAGAUCAAGAAGCUUGAGGGGACAAUGAUGCACAAUAAAAUGAGGAUCAUUUGAGACUGAAACAUCUUGGUCAAAAAGAGGAAAAAUUGGCUAUAUUCCUUUAACAUAACACAUUUGUAACAAUUGCUGUAUAAGUACUGUAUAUUUGAUAAUUCAGCAUAGUUUUUUUUUUUCAGUAGAAUUUACAAUUUGAAUAAAUGAGCAUUGGCAACUUUUUAUGUGCCAUUUAAUGGGGACUGCAAAAUUUAUUUUGUCUGGGCGAGAGGUUGGGGG